ACGACGCUGGCGGCGUGCUUAACACAUGCAAGGUCGAACGGGGCGAAGUGAUAGCUUGCUAUUAUGGAGCCUAGUGGCAAACGGGUGAGUAACGCGUAGGCAACCUGCCCUUCAGAUGGGGACAACACCUCGAAAGGGGUGCUAAUACCGAAUGACGUUUCCUAGUCGCAUGACCUGGAAACCAAAGGCCGGGCAACCGGUCACUGAAGGAUGGGCCUGCGUCUGAUUAGCUAGUUGGUGGGGUAACGGCCCACCAAGGCGACGAUCAGUAGCCGGUCUGAGAGGAUGAACGGCCACAUUGGAACUUAGACACGGUCCAGACUCCUACGGGAGGCAGCAGUAGGGAAUUUUCGGCAAUGGGGGAAACCCUGACCGAGCAAUGCCGCGUGAAUGAUGAAGGUCUUCGGAUUGUAAAAUUCUGUUGUUAGGGACGAAUGAUACGACUAGGAAAUGAGUUGUAUUUGACGGUACCUGAUUAGAAAGCCCCGGCUAACUAUGUG
This 500-nucleotide ribosomal RNA is filed under the name uncultured bacterium. RNAcentral describes it as "bacterial SSU rRNA". It matches the Rfam family "Bacterial small subunit ribosomal RNA", at positions 33 to 507 of the family's 1533-position model. The record is from RNAcentral.